AACGAACGCUGGCGGCAUGCCUAACACAUGCAAGUCGAACGAGACCUUCGGGUCUAGUGGCGCACGGGUGCGUAACGCGUGGGAACCUGCCCUUAGGUUCGGAAUAACUCCCCGAAAGGGGUGCUAAUACCGGAUAAUGUCCUCGGACCAAAGAUUUAUCGCCUUUGGAUGGGCCCGCGUUGGAUUAGCUAGUUGGUAGGGUAAAAGCCUACCAAGGCGACGAUCCAUAGCUGGUCUGAGAGGAUGAUCAGCCACACUGGGACUGAGACACGGCCCAGACUCCUACGGGAGGCAGCAGUGGGGAAUAUUGGACAAUGGGCGAAAGCCUGAUCCAGCAAUGCCGCGUGAGUGAUGAAGGCCUUAGGGUUGUAAAGCUCUUUUACCCGGGAUGAUAAUGACAGCACCGGGAGAAUAAGCUCCGGCUAACUCCGUG
Molecule: ribosomal RNA, 433 nt
Filed under: uncultured bacterium
Lineage: Bacteria
Description: partial 16S ribosomal RNA
Rfam family: Bacterial small subunit ribosomal RNA
Source: RNAcentral